This 454-nucleotide ribosomal RNA is filed under the name uncultured Prevotella sp. RNAcentral's name for it is "bacterial SSU rRNA". It matches the Rfam family "Bacterial small subunit ribosomal RNA", at positions 341 to 792 of the family's 1533-position model. The record is from RNAcentral. Lineage: Bacteria; Pseudomonadati; Bacteroidota; Bacteroidia; Bacteroidales; Prevotellaceae.
ACGGGAGGCAGCAGUGAGGAAUAUUGGUCAAUGGACGAGAGUCUGAACCAGCCAAGUAGCGUGCAGGAUGACGGCCCUAUGGGUUGUAAACUGCUUUUAUGUGAGAAUAAAAAGAGUCACGUGUGACUCAUUGCAUGUAUCACAUGAAUAAGGACCGGCUAAUUCCGUGCCAGCAGCCGCGGUAAUACGGAAGGUCCGGGCGUUAUCCGGAUUUAUUGGGUUUAAAGGGAGCGUAGGCGGCCUUUUAAGCGUGUUGUGAAAUGUCCCGGCUCAACCGUGGCACUGCAGCGCGAACUGGAGGGCUUGAGUGCGCCGGAAGUUGGCGGAAUUCGUCGUGUAGCGGUGAAAUGCUUAGAUAUGACGAAGAACUCCGAUUGCGAAGGCAGCUGACUGUAGCGUAACUGACGCUGAAGCUCGAAGGUGCGGGUAUCGAACAGGAUUAGAUACCCUGGUA